CGAGGAAAAGACAUCAACCGAGAUUCCGAAAGUAGUGGCGAGCGAAAUUGGAAGAGCCUGCUAGUGAUAGCGCGAUUGCUAACAAAACGGUCUGGAAAGGCCGGCCAUAGAAGGUGAUAGCCCUGUAGGUGAAAUCACGAUGGUGGUACUAAGCGUACGAGAAGUAGGGCGGGACACGUGAAAUCCUGUCUGAAGAUGGGGGGACCAUCCUCCAAGGCUAAAUACUCGUGAUCGACCGAUAGUGAACCAGUACCGUGAGGGAAAGGCGAAAAGAACCCCGGAAGGGGAGUGAAAUAGAUCCUGAAACCGUAUGCAUACAAACAGUAGGAGCCCUGCAAGGGGUGACUGCGUACCUUUUGUAUAAUGGGUCAGCGACUUACAUUCAGUGGCGAGCUUAACCGAAUAGGGAAGGCGUAGCGAAAGCGAGUCCGAAUAGGGCGCAUAGUCGCUGGGUGUAGACCCGAAACCAGGUGAUCUAUCCAUGGCCAGGUUGAAGGCACGGUAACACGUGCUGGAGGACCGAACCCACUAGUGUUGAAAAACUAGGGGAUGAGCUGUGGAUAGGGGUGAAAGGCUAAACAAACCUGGAAAUAGCUGGUUCUCUCCGAAAACUAUUUAGGUAGUGCCUCACGUAUUACUGCCGGGGGUAGAGCACUGUUAUGGCUAGGGGGUCAUGGCGACUUACCAAACCAUGGCAAACUCCGAAUACCGGCAAGUACAGCGUGGGAGACAGAGCACCGGGUGCUAACGUCCGGACUCAAGAGGGAAACAACCCAGACCGCCAGCUAAGGUCCCAAACUAUCGCUAAGUGGGAAACGAAGUGGGAAGGCAUAGACAGUCAGGAGGUUGGCUUAGAAGCAGCCAUCCUUUAAAGAAAGCGUAAUAGCUCACUGAUCGAGUCGUCCUGCGCGGAAGAUGUAACGGGGCUAAGCGAUAGACCGAAGCUGCGGGUGUGUACGCAAGUACACGCGGUAGGAGAGCGUUCCGUAAGCCUGCGAAGGUGGCUUGUAAAGGCUGCUGGAGGUAUCGGAAGUGCGAAUGCUGACAUGAGUAGCGAUAAAGGGGGUGAAAAGCCCCCUCGCCGUAAGUCCAAGGUUUCCUGCGCAACGUUCAUCGGCGCAGGGUGAGUCGGCCCCUAAGGUGAGGCAGAGAUGCGUAGCUGAUGGGAAGCUGGUUAAUAUUCCAGCACCGUCGUAUGGUGCGAUGGGGGGACGGAUUGCGGAAAGUCAUCAGGGUGUUGGAAGUCCCUGUUGCUGCAUUGGAGAGGGCGCUUAGGUAAAUCCGGGCGCAGGACUCAAGGGUGUGGCGCGAGUGAGCUUGCUCACGAAGUGACUGGAAGUGGUUCCAAGAAAAGCCUCUAAGCUUCAGCCAUACGAGACCGUACCGCAAACCGACACAGGUGGACGGGAUGAAUAUUCCAAGGCGCUUGAGAGAACUCAGGAGAAGGAACUCGGCAAAUUGAUACCGUAACUUCGGGAGAAGGUAUGCCCUGGUAGUGUGAGGCGCCUGCGCGCUGAGCAUGAAGGGGCCGCAGAGAAUCGGUGGCUGCGACUGUUUAUUAAAAACACAGCACUCUGCUAAGACGAAAGUCGACGUAUAGGGUGUGACGCCUGCCCGGUGCCGGAAGGUUAAUUGAUGGGGUGCAAGCUCUUGAUCGAAGCCCCGGUAAACGGCGGCCGUAACUAUAACGGUCCUAAGGUAGCGAAAUUCCUUGUCGGGUAAGUUCCGACCUGCACGAAUGGCGUAACGAUGGCCACAC
This 1759-nucleotide ribosomal RNA is filed under the name freshwater metagenome. RNAcentral's name for it is "bacterial LSU rRNA". It matches the Rfam family "Bacterial large subunit ribosomal RNA", at positions 212 to 2016 of the family's 2925-position model. The record is from RNAcentral.